GGAUUAAAACAAACAUUCAUGUUAAUUGGUUUUAACUAAGUAAGCGUGACUUAUCACUUUUAUUCAAAGAAAGAACUUUUUACGUUGUGGAAAUGGAUAUUCCAUGGAAAAUUAUUAUAAACUUUUUUCUUUUUUUUAUUAUGUUUUUACUUUUUACGUAUAUUUUAAACAAAUCGAAUUAUACUUUAAAUCUCAAACAACCUCCGUACAUGUCAUCACGAUUAUCCCAAUGAUGAUGCCAGAUAUGAAGCUUGUAUGCAAAAUAACGAACAGAUGAGCUUUUGCAAAUUAGGUCUUGUUAUACCCGAAAGUUAAAUUAUCGCAUAAUCGUUAUAAUAGUUUUUUCAAGACACAUGUUACGUCAUGGCAAAUCUCACGACACGAUGUUGUGGUGCUUCAUUAGAGUAAAAUUUUAUCAAUGGUACAAAAGAAUACUCAUAACAGUAGAAAAAAUUAAUUGUUGAAGUUUUCUCCAAAAAACUAUGCAAAGAGUUAAAUCAGUUUAAAGCAAAAGUUUAUGUUAGUUACCAGGUUACCAGGUUAUCAGGUUACCAGGUUACCAGGUUACCAGGACAAAAAGCAAAAAAUUUUACAGCAGUAAUAAAAUUUGUGCGAUGAUUAAA
Hydra vulgaris (swiftwater hydra) is the source of this 623-nucleotide non-coding RNA. The record is from RefSeq and is a predicted model, not a curated record. NCBI's taxonomy places the organism in Eukaryota, Metazoa, Cnidaria, Hydrozoa, Anthoathecata, Hydridae.